GGUUUCCAUCUCUGCUACAGUACCAUGCUCCUCUUGCCAGAAUCAAAUGGAUUUUCCUUGGUUUGAACUUCCAAGGGUCAGAGACAGGCAGGCGCAAUGGAGUUAGAGGGUUGCUACCUCUGGAAUGACCUGAGAGGAGACUUCUGAAGGGCCAGUAAUUUCUCAACUGGAUAGGUGCCUCCUGACACUGCCCUGUCUCCUUGACUGUGCACCUUUCCGUUGGCCCCUGAAGAUACUGGACCUGGCUCUUUUGGCAGAUAAAACUGCUGAUUGUAAUUUGAAAACAGCCCUUCAGUUAAUUUACCAAGGAAUCUCAGAGGCAGAAACAGCUUGGAAGAUUUUUCCUUUGUAUGGACUUUAACUCAAGUACAAACACUAAGGCUAUCUUGCAGAAUCCAACUUUUGACGAGAGAUGUGAAAAGUGGGAGCUGGAGCUGGAACUGGAAGAGAAGGGAGAAAGUGGAGAAGAGUCUGUUCUGGUCAAACAGGAGGAGAGAGCCCCACGCCUGGGAGAGGACAAGGACUGAUGGAGAAUUAUUCAAAUGGCAAAGUGCCCAACUCGUUGGUUACAAUGCAGAUGCAGACUAGACUGUCAUCAAGCAUGCAGAUCCCUUUGACUUUGGAGAGGGGGCAUUUGAGGUGACAUGAAUAUGAGGCAUUCAUCAUUCAAUUUUGGGAAGGGAGUGUGGUCCGGUGGCUGUGUGGCUGAGGCAAUGGAUGAGUGAUGGAGUCUUGACUAAAGGAUGGGAAUGCAGUGAUCUCUUUUCAAACCUCAUCUGCAGUGUUGAGUGGUGCUGAUCUCUCCUCCAAAUGGUCAACCGUCAGGCCCAAGGCUCCUCAGAUAAAUACUGAGGGUGCAGCCCCCCAUCUGUGCCUUGCACAUAAGACUAGUUCUGAUACUCGCUCCUUGAUGACGAUGUGCACGUUGGCCGAAAGAGAAGGACAUGCUACUUUAAGCACCACACAGGAGCUGGACUGGCUUCCAGGCCUGUUGUCAUGGGAGGAGUGUGGGAGUGCAGGUCAAUGCUGAGCUUCAGCCUUACAAAGAGGAGCAGGAAUUGCCUGUAAUGUGGCAAAUGCUGGAUGUGUAUUGGGAGUUGCAUGAAGGUCUGACACAGCUUCAAGAACAUAUGUGUGCCCUUCCCAGAAAGUGGGAGAGUAUAUCCAGGCAAUAAGUCCUUCAAUCUCCCUCCUGCAGCUUGUUUAGAGUUUAAAUACCAGCUUGGAAUGGUUGUUUGAAAUGGCCUAUUUCUGAGCUGUAUAUCCAAUGUAAUCUUAUGCAAGAGCACAUGAAAAUUCAGUUGGAUACAGAUUACCUUAUUCUUUAUUUAGCAAUCUGUAUUACAUUAUGUGUAACAUUGAAUAUAAUACAUAUAUAUCUGUAAAACAAGGAAGUUUAUCCAUUAAAUUGAAUAUGUGACUCAGUGUUAUGGUUUUACAAAUUUGCUUUACAUGUUUAUCACAAUUACAGCUGAAUUAGUUCCUGAUUCUUGGAAAGUGAAUGACAUAGUAAGUCAAUAUUCAAAGAGGAUGUAAAUGACUAGACUACCUCAUAAAUUCAUUGUAAAUACUCCACUCCCAGAAGUAUUGGUGCAUUGCAAACUCAAAUAUGUUGAUCUUUUUGACUCUGAGUUUGUGAGUUUCGUCAUUAGUGAGGUGUUAGCAAAUAGGCUGACAGAAUAUUCCAUCUGCUGAGCAUAAGGCUUCCAGUCAUAUCAUGUAACAAAACUGGCUCGGUUGGAACUGUCACAUUAGCCACUGCUAAUU
Molecule: long non-coding RNA, 1767 nt
Organism: Hemiscyllium ocellatum (epaulette shark)
Lineage: Eukaryota; Metazoa; Chordata; Chondrichthyes; Orectolobiformes; Hemiscylliidae
Exons: 3
Source: RefSeq, a predicted model, not a curated record